UACCGGGAGGUACUUGGCUUAA
This 22-nucleotide microRNA is filed under the name Parasteatoda tepidariorum (common house spider). RNAcentral describes it as "pte-miR-11950-3p". Lineage: Eukaryota; Metazoa; Arthropoda; Arachnida; Araneae; Theridiidae. The record is from miRBase by way of RNAcentral.